This 460-nucleotide ribosomal RNA is filed under the name Leptobrachium sp. KUHE 34396. RNAcentral's name for it is "partial 12S rRNA". It matches the Rfam family "Bacterial small subunit ribosomal RNA", at positions 868 to 1521 of the family's 1533-position model. The record is from RNAcentral. Lineage: Eukaryota; Metazoa; Chordata; Amphibia; Anura; Megophryidae.
UUCGCCAGGGGACUACGAGCAAUAGCUUAAAACCCAAAGGACUUGGCGGUGCCCUAUACCACCUAGAGGAGCCUGUUCCAUAAUCGAUAAUCCACGAUACACCUCACCGCUUCUUGCCAAAACCGCCUAUAUACCGCCGUCGUCAACUUACCCCUUGAGGGCUACAUAGUAAGUUUAAGGGUAUUCACCAAAACGUCAGGUCAAGGUGUAGCGAAUGAAGCGGGAAGAAAUGGGCUACAUUUUCUAUAUUAGAUUACACGGACUACCAAUAUGAAACUUGGUUGCAAAGGAGGAUUUAGCAGUAAAAAGAAAUCAUCAAGUUCUUUUUAACACGGUCCUAGGGCGCGCACACACCGCCCGUCGCCCUCUUCGACUCUUUAAAAUUAAUUCAUAAUAAAUUAAAUAUGAAAUUAGAAGAGGUAAGUCGUAACAUGGUAAGUAUACCGGAAGGUGUACUUGG